RNAcentral lists this ribosomal RNA (366 nucleotides) under uncultured bacterium. Its description in RNAcentral is "bacterial SSU rRNA". It matches the Rfam family "Bacterial small subunit ribosomal RNA", at positions 42 to 422 of the family's 1533-position model. The record is from RNAcentral.
UCAGGCCUAACACAUGCAAGUCGAGCGGGGUUUUCGGACCUAGCGGCGGACGGGUGAGUAAUGCGUAGGAAGCUACCCGACAGAGGGGGAUACCAGUUGGAAACGACUGUUAAUACCGCAUAAUGUCUACGGACCAAAGUGUGGGACCUUCGGGCCACAUGCUGUCGGAUGCGCCUACGUGGGAUUAGCUAGUUGGUGAGGUAAUGGCUCACCAAGGCGACGAUCCCUAGCUGGUUUGAGAGGAUGAUCAGCCACACUGGAACUGAGACACGGUCCAGACUCCUACGGGAGGCAGCAGUGGGGAAUAUUGGACAAUGGGCGCAAGCCUGAUCCAACAGUGCCGCGUGUGUGAAGAAGGCCUUCGGG